Molecule: long non-coding RNA, 413 nt
Organism: Oncorhynchus gorbuscha (pink salmon)
Lineage: Eukaryota; Metazoa; Chordata; Actinopteri; Salmoniformes; Salmonidae
Exons: 3
Source: RefSeq, a predicted model, not a curated record
ACAGAGUGAAAUGGGGAGGUCCUAUUGGAAUGAGUUGUUUUCUGUUGCGUGGUCUAAUGGAUAGUUGGGACAUGAACCAGAUGUUUCCCUGACAUCAACAGGGGCGUUUGAUCCCAACAUUCCAGAGGAGGGUCCAUCGGCGCCCCCUCCUGGCUGGCUGGACUGUGUGACAGGGUACGACGAGCCCAAAGGGGGAGACACGGGAGACCAGCUGUACCCUCCUCCCCCUGCCUACAACCCUCAACCUGAGAAUGACAGGAAUGCAUCUGUCCCGAACGUCAGGGUACCUCAAGUGUCAGAGAGUGUGGCUAGGGAAGCUCUCCUGAAGUUUGUGGGCUCCAAGUGGUCCAAAAGCAGCAAGCCUGCCAGAAACCUGACCUUCAAGGAGCUACAACCUAUCACCAUGUAUCGGG